CUUCCAUGCCCGCUGUAGCACGCCAUCAGCCAGCCGCAGUCUCUCAAACUUUGACCACAACACUUUGGUCGCGAAUCAGAGCGCUGUCACCUCUUCCCAUGGUGACCUCACCUGCGCCUCUACCCACUGUAGCACUGGCUGUAGGUCUGUGUCCCGUCCCUGCUGCUGCCCCCAUUCAGCCACAUCGUCAGUCUGCAGCUCACAGCAGACAGGCCCGCUCACCCUACACACUGUGGCACAGACCCCCUCCUCUGCACACAGCUCUCUCUCCCGUCCCUCUCUCCUCCCACAGUGGCGGCAGCCGUCUGCAGUACAGGGCCGAUGGGACAUGGCAUCGGCGUUGGAGUGUUGUGCCCCUGCCCUGUGCACCACUGUUAAAGUGGAAGCCACAACAGCCAAGAGCUCCCACCAGGUGACAGUAGCGGCGCUCAUGUUUGUCAAAUGUUUUGCUGAAGUACGCCACCACUCUCUCCCCCUCUGGCCCCACCUGGGCCAGCACCCCACCCAUGCCCACAUUGCUCGCGUCUGUGUCCAGGGCAAGGUGAAGUCAGGGGGAGGGUGAGCAUGGGGGCCUCGAUCAGUGCACGUUUGAUGGUGUUGAAGGCCUCCUCACACUCCACGGUCCAAGUAAAGGCCUUCGGCAGCAAUCGGUUCAGGGGAGCAGUGAUGCGUGAGAAGCCCCGUACAAACCUCCUGUAGUACGAGGCCAGGCCCAGAAAGCUCUUCAGCUGAUGCCUGUCGUGGGGGUGGGCCAGUCUCGGACAGCCCCCUUCUUGUCCUCCAGGCCGUGCACAGGCCGAAGCACAGGACCUUGAACUGCCAGUGUCCUCUGUUAGUGGAGAAGGUAGUUUUGGCUCUGGCCUCUGGGGAGAGCUGUCUCUGAACUCAAACAGCAACUGCCACAACCAUUCCUGCUGCUCGGGGUCAAGACCAACACGGUUCCUCUACAAUAUUAACGUUGGUUGCGAGAUACAGAAAAAGACGAAUAAGAAGAAUAUAGAGAAGAAGAAAAGUCAGUAUUUCCACAGCUCCACAAGCUCCUUUCGCGAUUGGCGAAAGCAUCAUAUAUGAAAUGUAUCAAGGGAUGCCCGAGACCUCUGGCUCUGAACAAGACAGUGAGCCAGAGCUGCCAGGAGAUGUCAUCGAGCCCCUCCCUACUGUAUCAAGCACCAGAUAUGCUGUUCCAGAAGGACCCAAUGACAUUUCAAGAUCCAGAGAAGAGGGUCCUGUACAGCCGUGUUUGAAAACAUUUCCCAGAACUCAGCAUGGUACUAGGAAAAGGGCUUUCAACAGCUCCUGGUAUAAGGACAAUUCAUGGCUUGAAAUUUCUGUAAGUCAAGAUUUGACUUAUUGUUUUGCCUGUAGGCAUGUUUCUCUGCCCAAUGCACCUGAAUCUGUCUUCACUUCACAGUCAGGUUUUUGUAACUGGAAAAUGGUGCUGUUUAAAGAUUCUGGGUUUAAGCUCCAUUUGAAGGCAGAGCAUCAUAUCAAUGCUAUGUAUGCUUGGAAUCAGCAUCAAAGGGCUAUUGACAGCAACUCAUCAAUGUUAGAUGUCAUAAUUGAGGACCGGAAAAAGAAAGUGGAGGAAAACUGUACUUUCAUUAAAACAAUUGCAGAUGUGCUCCUAUUAACUGCCACUCAAAAUGUAGCGCAGAGAGGUCAUCGAGAGUCUGAUGACUCUAACAACAAGGGUAAUUUUUCCUCUGUCCGGUGUCUGUGUUCUUUUACCCAUCUUAAUCUUUUAUCUUUUAU
Oncorhynchus mykiss (rainbow trout) is the source of this 1752-nucleotide non-coding RNA. NCBI's taxonomy places the organism in Eukaryota, Metazoa, Chordata, Actinopteri, Salmoniformes, Salmonidae. The record is from RefSeq and is a predicted model, not a curated record.